UCUGGUUGAUCCUGCCAGAGGUUACUGCUAUCGAGGUUCGACUAAGCCAUGCGAGUCGAAUGUAGCAAUACAUGGCGAACUGCUCAGUAACACGUGGACAACCUGCCCUUAGGUUGGGUAUAAACCCGGGAAACUGGGUAUAAUACCCGAUAGGUCUCGAUUGCUGGAAUGCAUCGAGAUUUAAAGCUCCGGCGCCUAAGGAUGGGUCUGCGGCCUAUCAGGUAGUAGUGGGUGUAGCGUACCUACUAGCCUACGACGGGUACGGGUUGUGAGAGCAAGAGCCCGGAGAUGGAUUCUGAGACACGAAUCCAGGCCCUACGGGGUGCAGCAGGCGCGAAAACUUUACAAUGCUGGCAACAGCGAUAAGGGAACCUCGAGUGCCAGGUUACAAAUCUGGCUGUCGAGAUGCCUAAAAAGCAUUUCAUAGCAAGGGCCGGGCAAGACCGGUGCCAGCCGCCGCGGUAACACCGGCGGCUCGAGUGGUAACCGUUAUUAUUGGGUCUAAAGGGUCUGUAGCCGGCCGGAUAAGUCUCUUGAGAAAUCUGGCAGCUUAACUGUCAGGCUUUCAGGAGAUACUGUCUGGCUCGAGGCCGGGAGAGGUGAGAGGUACUUCAGGGGUAGGGGUGAAAUCUUGUAAUCCUUGAAGGACCACCAGUGGCGAAGGCGUCUCACCAGAACGGACCUGACGGCAAGGGACGAAAGCUAGGGGCACGAACCGGAUUAGAUACCCGGGUAGUCCUAGCCGUAAACGAUACUCGCUAGGUGUCGGCCACGGUGCGACCGUUGUCGGUGCCGUAGGGAAGCCGUGAAGCGAGCCACCUGGGAAGUACGGCCGCAAGGCUGAAACUUAAAGGAAUUGGCGGGGGAGCACCACAACGGGUGAGCUUGCGGUUUAAUUGGAUUCAACGCCGGAA
This 914-nucleotide ribosomal RNA is filed under the name uncultured archaeon. Its description in RNAcentral is "bacterial SSU rRNA". It matches the Rfam family "Archaeal small subunit ribosomal RNA", at positions 1 to 923 of the family's 1478-position model. The record is from RNAcentral.